CCUACGGGAGGCAGCAGUGGGGAAUAUUGCACAAUGGGGGAAACCCUGAUGCAGCGACGCCGCGUGAGUGAAGAAGUCUUUCGGUAUGUAAAGCUCUAUCAGCAGGAACGAGACAAGACGGUACCUGCCUAAGAAGCCCCGGCUAACUACGUGCCAGCAGCCGCGGUAAUACGUAGGGGGCCAGCGUUCUCCGGAAUCACUGGGUGUAAAGGGAGCGUAGACGGCUGUGCAAGCCUGAAGUGAAAGGCGGGGGCCCAACCCCUGGACUGCUUUGGGAACUGUACGGCUGGAGUGCAGGAGAGGUAAGUGGAAUUCCUAGUGUAGCGGUGAAAUGCGUAGAUAUUAGGAGGAACACCAGUGGCGAAGGCGGCUUACUGGACUGUAACUGACGUUGAGGCUCGAAAGCGUGGGGAGCAAACAGGAUUAGAUACCCCUGUAGUC
This 441-nucleotide ribosomal RNA is filed under the name uncultured bacterium. Its description in RNAcentral is "partial 16S ribosomal RNA". It matches the Rfam family "Bacterial small subunit ribosomal RNA", at positions 338 to 795 of the family's 1533-position model. The record is from RNAcentral.